RNAcentral lists this long non-coding RNA (299 nucleotides) under Gossypium raimondii (Peruvian cotton). Its description in RNAcentral is "long non-coding RNA (GRAI_LNC005360)". Lineage: Eukaryota; Viridiplantae; Streptophyta; Magnoliopsida; Malvales; Malvaceae. The record is from RNAcentral.
UAAUACUAUUCAGAACGGACAGCUUAAUUAUCACCAAUAACAGCAUAACAACAUCAAUUUUUACAAAUAAAAUUAAACUCAAUUCGGCAGAUACAAUUAAUAAAUAGAAUAUCCUAAUCUAUAGUGCAUUAAACAGUGAGUUUAACACAUUCGGACAGCUAAAUCUUAAAUUCACUAUCAACUAAUUAGCUUUUAUAUCACAUAUGCUAUUGUUGCAUUUACAACAUGGUUUAAUUAGAUUAAAGCAGAGAAUUUAAAUGCUGAAAUUUCCAGUGUUCAGACCCUAAAUUACUCUUUCG